Long non-coding RNA from Megalobrama amblycephala (Wuchang bream), 838 nucleotides. RefSeq lists it as uncharacterized. The record is from RefSeq and is a predicted model, not a curated record. The transcript is spliced from 5 exons. NCBI's taxonomy places the organism in Eukaryota, Metazoa, Chordata, Actinopteri, Cypriniformes, Xenocyprididae.
ACGAACACAAUCAGAGUUUUAAUACAAAAUAUCCUGGCUCUUCCAAGCCCAAGUGAAUGGCGCUCCUGAUUUUGAAGUCCAGAAAAGUGCAUCCAUUUAUCAUAAAAGUAUCCAUCUCUGUUGACCUUUCCAGACUGCUUCCUUCUUUAUAACUGGGGCCGCAUCUGAAACAAAAGCAAAAUUAUGGGUCUGGUUUGGCUGGGUGGGAGAGGAGAGGAGUGACCCUGGCAUGUGGUUCUCCUGAGCCCGACCAGGCCGAGGACGGGAAGAUCUAAACUGGUGCUGGCAGAGACGCUGGAAAAAAAGCCACAUAUUCCUGAAGACAUCUCUUGUUUUUCCUCUUUUGUUGAGAGAUUCAGGGAGUCGUGAAGUGGAGCCCUCCUGCCCCUUGUUCAUGGCCAGCGUUGGAAAAGCAGUGUGGAAGUGACCAGUGCGCUUUCACCUCUCACCAUGGCGGAUCUCCUCGCCGCUCUGAGGCCAGAGGACUCGCGCCAGGCAGGGCCUGCCGAAAGGUGAUGUGUGUGGUCCCGACUGGUCCAAGACAGAGGUUCGGUCUGACAGAGCCGGCCGGCCGCAUGACCAAUCACUGUCCGGGAAUUCGAGAAACACCAGAAACCUCUGUGUCGUCUUGAAAGACUCAUCCACAGGAAAAAACAAGUACAAGCUGGACUUCUAAUUGAGAUGACAGAUGGUUUUACUUAAUCAGUAAUCAGUCUGGAGAGAAUCUACAGAACGUUGAGUUGAUAAAGAAUUGUGGUUUAGAAGAAUAAUAGAUGGACUCAGUGCAAAAAAAUCAUUAUCUUCAUCAGUAUUUUAGUCUUGUUGUCCAAUACAAAUA